RNAcentral lists this ribosomal RNA (494 nucleotides) under uncultured bacterium. Its description in RNAcentral is "partial 16S ribosomal RNA". It matches the Rfam family "Bacterial small subunit ribosomal RNA", at positions 30 to 507 of the family's 1533-position model. The record is from RNAcentral.
AUUGAACGCUGGCGGCAUGCUUUACACAUGCAAGUCGAACGGCAGCGCGGUAGAGGUUUGUUCUUUGCCGGCGAGUGGCGCGCGGGUGUGUAAUAUACAGGGAAAUGUACAGAUGAGUGGGAUAACACCUCGGGAGGCUUACUAAUACAGCAUAAACUAUGUGGGAGAGAGAUCAGGACCUCUGAAGAGGUUUCGCGCUUGUUGAGCGGGCGAUGUCGGAUUAGCUAGUUGGUGGGGUAAAGGCACACCAAGGCGAAGAUCUGUAGCGGGUCUGAGAGGAUGAUCCGCCACACUGGGACUGAGACACGGCCCAGACUCCUACGGGAGGCAGCAGUGGGGAAUAUUGGACAAUGGGGGCAAGCCUGAUCCAGCCAUGCCGCGUGGAUGAAGAAGGCCUUAGGGUUGUAAAGUACUUUUGUUAGGGAAGAAAAGUCAGCGGUGAAUACUCGCUUGUACUGACGGUACCUAAAGAAUAAGCACCGGCUAACUACGUG